CCCAGAUAUACAAAUUAAAUACGAUCUUCAUAACAGGGAACUCUAUACAUAUCUCAGAGUGAAACAUAUUUUAAUGAAACUUCAAGUGAAGGAGGUGGAAAAUUCUAGGGUGAAUGAUUUUGGGAGGCUAUGUUUGGGGAGACGACCCCAAAAUAAGCCUCUAUCAAUAAGCUACAGAGGAAUAUUAAAUAUAGCAAAACCAGAGAAACUGCCUUUUAUGUUAAAUUGGGAGAAGGAGCUAAAC
Molecule: non-coding RNA, 244 nt
Organism: Pelobates cultripes (western spadefoot toad)
Lineage: Eukaryota; Metazoa; Chordata; Amphibia; Anura; Pelobatidae
Source: the annotation of a GenBank genome assembly